AUGCAAAUGGAUGCGGUUCACCAAUGAGCAAGCAUGUGACAGAAAGGUACACACACCUCUUGUCAUCAUCACUCACAUUCCCAUUGAGUUCAGGGUGUGUUUGCUGUUGUUGUUGACUGUAAUCUGGAACAGACUGCUGGUACCCAGAUGACAUGCUAGUCACAAACUGAAGGUCAUGCCGUACGUAUCAAUAGUUCCUGGUGUUGUAGGAAAAGAUUUGUGCUUCCAGCGUCACUCCUGGUUUCGACUUCUGAGUAUGCUGGGUCCUAUCCCAGCGUCUUGGGCCGUAGACAGGGAAACCCUCUGGACAGCUGGACAAUCAAUCACGGGGAUGACGCGCGUAAUUUACAGUCUUCAGUUCACCUAACCUGUUUGUCUUUGAGUGCGGUAAACUAGAGCAAACCCACAUCAACAUGGGAAGAACAUGCAAACACCUCACAUGAUGUCUUCCGGCUCAGUCAGGACUGGAGCAGGGACCUUCAGUGACAGUUCCAUCCUAUUAGUGUGAUCCUAUUAGUCAUAAAGUUGAAAAUAUCAUGUAUAUCAGAUAUAGUGCAUUUGCAAAUAGGCAACUAAAUCUAAUUGUCUUGUUUUUAUAUGUAAAUAUAUCCCCAGGCUGACAUACCACAUAUUUUGUUUAUAAAAUGUACAGGGUGAGGCAGGGUAAGACAAAAUUUAAUUUCAACACCGCCUGAGCUAUUUUUACAUUUGUAAUUUCAUCUGAAUAUCAACAUUGUGAAUUUGAAUCUUUCAAAACAGCUUAAUGAGGCUAAUUGAAUUUAAUUAUGUGUCUAGGGGGAAAAAAGUGAUCCAUGACAUUGUAUUGUGUUUAUUUAUUUAUUUAUAUUUAUAUUUAUAUAUUAAUUAACUUUACAAGACAACACUGUAAAAAGUGAUUUUUUUGGGCUUGUAAAUAAAGAUAGCAUCAGUUAAGUAAAUUUUACAAACAAAUACUAUUUUGUCUUUUUACUUCAAAAUAUCAUGUUUAAUUCAAUAAGCUAC
Molecule: long non-coding RNA, 1002 nt
Organism: Carassius gibelio (silver crucian carp)
Lineage: Eukaryota; Metazoa; Chordata; Actinopteri; Cypriniformes; Cyprinidae
Exons: 3
Source: RefSeq, a predicted model, not a curated record